GGGGCAAAGGCAACCGGCCUCUGUCACGACGUGCCCCGCUGGGGCAGUUCAAAGCCACUUCUCUGCCUUCCUCCUUUAAAGCAAAGUCUGUGGACUGACACCAGAUCAGCAAACUGGAUAUGGCAUUUUAUGGCAGUAAAAAUGUGCUACUCCCAGGUCUAGAGAGACUGAAUAAGAUAUACAAAGUAUAUAUGCAAGCGAGUCGUCCAUCACUGCUGGCUUUAUUGAAUCAUUCAUUUUUUUACUGUCUGACAAAGCUAUUUCAGAGACUGUUCAACAAAUAUUUAUAAACGGUGCUGUGCCUUGAUAGAAUCAGGGCUGUGACAAUUCAGACAAUGUUGGCGUAAAACUAACACAGUGGGAUUUAAAUGUUCACCCAGACAUUUAUUUCUUCACUAGCAGGAAGUUAUCCAAAGCAAGGCAAUCUCCUUCAAACAAGUGAGGCAAAUAAACAGGUGUGAUGCCCAAGGCUCCUCAUGCACUUCUCACUCCAGUAACAGCAUGAUCUUUUCCUCGUUUUUUAUCUAAAUUUCUUCCUGCUGCCUUGUUUUUAAUUUAGGGCACAAUUUUACAAGCGCACAGGUGUACAAAUAACUUUACUUGCAUAGACAACCAUGAGAUUGCACGCAUGGCAUAAGUUACUCACAUGUCCUGGAGUUUGCCAGUUCGAGUCUGUAAGAUGCAUCCGAAAAGAUCUGCUCCUGCAUCAGCCAAGUGUGGAAGCACCUUUGCCAGUGUAAAGCAGUGAUGUGAGAGAAAAAAAAAAACAGUGCAUGUUGGACUCAGGCCAGUAUCCUCAUCCAGUUCACAUGGUGGGAAAAGUCUAUCCUAGCAUCCUGGUGUUGCACUAACAAAUUAUAGAGAGCCCUGACCGUUUUUUGGGGGGAGGAGGUGGAGGGAGUGUGUGUAAGUGUGUAAGGGAGGAAGGGUUAUAUUGAAAAAGAGAAAAUAACUAACUCUCUCAAAAUCAAUUUUACAAAUAUCCUUUGCAGGUGACCUUUUGUUUGCUUAUAUUAUCAACUAGGAACUUUGCAUGUAAACAGCAAUGGAGCCAGUUGUUAUUUUUAAAGACUUCAAUAGGAUCUUUUAGGAAUUUUGCUUUUUUCCCAACAUCUUUAAAUAAAGAAGUUAUCUGUACAGAAUAACACCCAUGGACUAAGCAGCUAGGGAUGUAAUACAGACCUGUCUUGAACUCUGCCAGCUAUACAAAUCUAACAAUGCAUCUCAGAAAUAACUGGAAAAGGUGACCAGGUUUGGGUUUUUUUAUUAUUAAAUCUGGUUUUAAAGAAUUUGUUCCUGGGAUGAGACGGUGCGUCUGAUUUCAGCAUACAGCAAAAUUUCAAAGUUCAUGUGACCUAUGGAUACUAUCUCAAAAUGUUACUUGUUAAAUAUUAUUUUAAUAAAGACCCUGUUUACAGC
Long non-coding RNA from Gavialis gangeticus (Gharial), 1419 nucleotides. RefSeq lists it as uncharacterized. NCBI's taxonomy places the organism in Eukaryota, Metazoa, Chordata, Crocodylia, Gavialidae. The record is from RefSeq and is a predicted model, not a curated record. The transcript is spliced from 2 exons.